Molecule: non-coding RNA, 112 nt
Organism: Acanthosepion pharaonis
Lineage: Eukaryota; Metazoa; Mollusca; Cephalopoda; Sepiida; Sepiidae
Source: the annotation of a GenBank genome assembly
AUGGCUAUAUCGCACUGAAACACCCAUUCUCAUAUGAUUACUGAAGUUAAGCAACAUCAAACCUGGUCAGUACUUAGAUGGGUGACUGUUUGGGAAUAACAGGUGCUGUAAG